UACAGAGGGUGCGAGCGUUGUCCGGAAUCACUGGGCGUAAAGGGCGCGUAGGUGGUGGCUUAAGCGUGCGGUGAAAGCUCGGAGCUCAACUCCGAGUCGGCCGUGCGAACUGGGCUCACUGGAGCAUAGUAGAGGCAGGUGGAAUUCCGGGUGUAGCGGUGGAAUGCGUAGAGAUCCGGAAGAACACCGGUGGCGAAGGCGGUUCUCUGGGAAUGACCUGACGCUGAGGAGCGAAAGCGUGGGUAGCAAACAGG
This 254-nucleotide ribosomal RNA is filed under the name uncultured bacterium. Its description in RNAcentral is "partial 16S ribosomal RNA". It matches the Rfam family "Bacterial small subunit ribosomal RNA", at positions 524 to 776 of the family's 1533-position model. The record is from RNAcentral.